RNAcentral lists this transfer RNA (71 nucleotides) under Loxodonta africana (African savanna elephant). It matches the Rfam family "tRNA". Rfam says of the family: Transfer RNA (tRNA) molecules are approximately 80 nucleotides in length. Their secondary structure includes four short double-helical elements and three loops (D, anti-codon, and T loops). Further hydrogen bonds mediate the characteristic L-shaped molecular structure. tRNAs have two regions of fundamental functional importance: the anti-codon, which is responsible for specific mRNA codon recognition, and the 3' end, to which the tRNAs corresponding amino acid is attached (by aminoacyl-tRNA synthetases). tRNAs cope with the degeneracy of the genetic code in two manners: having more than one tRNA (with a specific anti-codon) for a particular amino acid; and 'wobble' base-pairing, i.e. permitting non-standard base-pairing at the 3rd anti-codon position. The record is from Rfam by way of RNAcentral. Lineage: Eukaryota; Metazoa; Chordata; Mammalia; Proboscidea; Elephantidae.
GCUAUGGUAGUUCAGUGGUAGAGUUCUCACCUUCCAUGCUGGAGACCCAGCUUCGAGUUCUGGCCAGUGCA